GACUUUGAUGAAGAUGGUUUAAUAUCUGAUGAAGAUAUUAAAGAACUGCUCAACCGCCUUUCAGGUGAUAAACUGCGUCGGCUGGAGAUUGAUCAAUUAUACGAGCAAUUAUUGGAUGAAGGCGAUCGAGAUGAAGAUGGAUGUUUCAGUCUUGCUGAAUUUAAAGAUAUGAUUGAGAAUUCAGAAGAUUUUAUGUGCACAUUCAGGAUGCCAAUGCCUUAAAUCUGAUGGUCAUGAAAAUAAAUUCUGCAAGAUAGCUUUCACAGCUGCUGAAAAGAAUGUGAUGCAUUACUGUACUUGUUAGCUCAUUGAUUCUAGGUUAUAAAAUAAAUUUUAUACAAGUUUUUCCUGUUUA
Long non-coding RNA from Stegodyphus dumicola, 355 nucleotides. NCBI's taxonomy places the organism in Eukaryota, Metazoa, Arthropoda, Arachnida, Araneae, Eresidae. The record is from RefSeq and is a predicted model, not a curated record.